Molecule: ribosomal RNA, 253 nt
Filed under: uncultured bacterium
Lineage: Bacteria
Description: partial 16S ribosomal RNA
Rfam family: Bacterial small subunit ribosomal RNA
Source: RNAcentral
UACGUAGGGGGCAAGCGUUGUCCGGAUUUAUUGGGCGUAAAGCGCUCGCAGGUGGUCCGAUGCGUCGUGCGUGAAAGACCCCGGCUCAACUGGGGAGUGUCGUGCGAUACGGUCGGACUGGAGGCCAGUAGGGGGAUGCGGAAUUCCGGGUGUAGUGGUGGAAUGCGUAGAGAUCCGGAGGAACACCAGCGGCGAAGGCGGCAUCCUGGACUGGUCCUGACACUCAUGAGCGAAAGCGUGGGGAGCGAGCCGG